UCAAUUCGAGUCAAAACAUUUCAGUUUGCAAUAAAGUUUAAGUAUACAAUUAAUGUAGUGAAAUUAAGUCGAGUUCACUUGUUUUUUGUUUGGAAACAUUUUUUUGUGGUUAAGUUUCUUCUGAGUCCAAAUAUACAGUCAUUGUGGUUUAUUUUCACUCGUUUCAGAACAUGUACUCUGUAGCAAUCAGUCAAGUUCAAAUAUACAGUUUGUGCUUCUGGACUUCACUCGAGUUCAAAUAUACAGUUUGUGCUUCUGGAUUUCACUGAAGUUCACAUAUAUAUUUGUUUUUGUUUCCAAACGAUAGGCAAUUUACUUACACCUAUAACCGAUUCGCAUGUGU
Molecule: long non-coding RNA, 343 nt
Filed under: Mytilus galloprovincialis (Mediterranean mussel)
Lineage: Eukaryota; Metazoa; Mollusca; Bivalvia; Mytilida; Mytilidae
Source: RNAcentral